UCCUUCAGUUUCUGCUCGGGAACGCCCGCAAGCUUGAGCGCAAAUCCCAUGUUUUCUUCAACGGUCAUGUGCGGAUACAAGGCAUAGCUCUGAAACACCAUCGCGAGCCCGCGCCGGUCGGGCGGGAUGUCGUUGCAGCGCUCGCCAUCGAUCAUCAGAUCGCCGGCAUCGAUGUCUUCAAGCCCGGCGAUCAUGCGCAGCAGCGUGGAUUUCCCGCAGCCGGAAGGCCCCACGAACACGACGAAUUCGCGGUCGUUGAUGGAGAGAUCCACGCUGCGGAUGACCUCGUGGAUGCCGUAGGCCUUGCGAACGGAUUUCAGUGUGAUGUUGGCCAUGAUUUGACUUCCUGGUUACUUGACGGCGCCGAACGUCAGCCCGCGAACGAGCUGCUUCUGCGUGAUCCACCCAAAGAGAAUGAUCGGAGCGACGGCCAGACUGGAAACCGCCGACAGCUUCGCCCAGAACAAUCCUUCGGGGCUCGAGAAGGACGCGACGAGGCUCGUCAGGGGUGCCGCCGCCGUCGAUGUCAGGUUGAUGCUCCAGAACGCCUCGUUCCAGCAGAGAAUGACCGACAGCAGACCCGUGGACGCAAUCCCCGGAAGCGUGAGCGGAACGAGAAUGAGGCGGAUCUGCUGCAGCGUCGUCGCGCCAUCCAUGCGCGAGGCUUCGAUGAUCUCCCCCGGCACGUCCUUGAAGAACGAGUAGAGCAUCCAGACCACGAUGGGGAGAUUGGCGAAUGUGUAGACGACGAUGAGGGCUGUUUUCGAGUCGAUCAGGUGAACCGACUUGAACAUCAGAUAGAUGGGCACGAGGACCCCGACGGGCGGAAGCAUCUUGGUGGACAGGAUCCACAUCAGGACAUCCUUCGUCCUGCGCGUCGGAAAGAAGACCAUCGAGUAGACCGUGGGAAGGGCGAUGGCCAAGGCAAACACCGUGGCGGAAAAGGAAACGACGACGCUGUUCAAAAGAUACGAGGCGUAGUUCGCCCUCUCGUUGAUGGCGCUGUAGUUUUCCAGCGUCGGCACGAAGAACAGCGACUUCAUUCCACCGAUCGCUUCGGCUUCGGUCUUGAAGCUCGUGACCACCAUCCAGAAGAUCGGAAAGAAGAGACAGAGGGCCAACGUCCAUCCGGCAAUGCCGGAAUAGAGCGUCGUGCGCUGACGGGCAGACAACAUGUCGAUCUCCUAUUUCG
This 1192-nucleotide unclassified non-coding RNA is filed under the name uncultured fungus. RNAcentral's name for it is "sequence contains 18S rRNA gene, ITS1, 5.8S rRNA gene, ITS2, 28S rRNA gene". Lineage: Eukaryota; Fungi. The record is from RNAcentral.